RNAcentral lists this long non-coding RNA (222 nucleotides) under Ananas comosus (pineapple). Its description in RNAcentral is "long non-coding RNA (ACOM_LNC018670)". Lineage: Eukaryota; Viridiplantae; Streptophyta; Magnoliopsida; Poales; Bromeliaceae. The record is from RNAcentral.
CCAAAAGGCACUAAUCUAGUAGAAUUAGAUUUAGAAAUAAUCUUAACACCCUUCUUUACGUGUAUGACUGACUAAAAAGAUAAUAAAAAUAUAAUAAUAAAACAAGAUAGGAAUAAGUUAGGACGCAAGAAUUAAACUCAAGACCUUUUGAAAUGAAGGGAUUUAAGAUUGACUCCAGAUAUCAUGUAACCGCAAAAUCAAUUUAAUCAAAAACAGAUUGAU